Molecule: non-coding RNA, 148 nt
Filed under: Pan paniscus (pygmy chimpanzee)
Lineage: Eukaryota; Metazoa; Chordata; Mammalia; Primates; Hominidae
Also listed under: 1 other name
Source: Rfam by way of RNAcentral
GCUGGGCGUGGUGGCGGGCACCUGUAGUCCCAGCUACUCGGGAGGCUGAGGCAGGAGAAUCACUUGAACCCGGGAGGCGGAGGCUGCAGUGAGCCAAGAUUGUGCCACUGCAGUCCAGCCUGGGUGACAGAGCGAGACUCUGUCUCAA